Molecule: ribosomal RNA, 506 nt
Filed under: uncultured bacterium
Lineage: Bacteria
Description: partial 16S ribosomal RNA
Rfam family: Bacterial small subunit ribosomal RNA
Source: RNAcentral
AGUGAACGCUGGCGGUAGGCCUAACACAUGCAAGUCGAACGGCAGCACAGGAGAGCUUGCUCUCUGGGUGGCGAGUGGCGGACGGGUGAGGAAUACAUCGGAAUCUACUCUGUCGUGAGGGAUAACGUAGGGAAACUUACGCUAAUACCGCAUACGACCUACGGGUGAAAGCAGGGGACCUGCGGGCCUUGCGCGAUUGAAUGAGCCGAUGUCGGAUUAGCUAGUUGGCGGGGUAAAGGCCCACCAAGGCGACGAUCCGUAGCUGGUCUGAGAGGAUGAUCAGCCACACUGGAACUGAGACACGGUCCAGACUCCUACGGGAGGCAGCAGUGGGGAAUAUUGGACAAUGGGCGCAAGCCUGAUCCAGCCAUACCGCGUGGGUGAAGAAGGCCUUCGGGUUGUAAAGCCCUUUUGUUGGGAAAGAAAUCCAGCUGGCUAAUACCCGGUUGGGAUGACGGUGCCCAAAGAAUAAGCACCGGCUAACUUCGUGCCAGCCGCCGCCGUAA